RNAcentral lists this ribosomal RNA (1930 nucleotides) under seawater metagenome. RNAcentral's name for it is "bacterial LSU rRNA". It matches the Rfam family "Bacterial large subunit ribosomal RNA", at positions 504 to 2420 of the family's 2925-position model. The record is from RNAcentral.
UGAGGGAAAGGCGAAAAGAACCCCUGUGAGGGGAGUGAAAUAGAACCUGAAACCGCAUACGUACAAGCAGUGGGAGCCCGAUUUAGUCGGGUGACUGCGUACCUUUUGUAUAAUGGGUCAGCGACUUAUAUUCUGUAGCAAGGUUAACCGAUUAGGGGAGCCGUAGCGAAAGCGAGUGUUAACUGCGCGUUUAGUUGCAGGGUAUAGACCCGAAACCCGGCGAUCUACCCAUGGGCAGGUUGAAGGUUGAGUAACAUCAACUGGAGGACCGAACACACGUAUGUUGAAAAAUGCGGUGAUGACUUGUGGGUCGGAGUGAAAGGCUAAUCAAGCCGGGAGAUAGCUGGUUCUCCCCGAAAUCUAUUUAGGUAGAGCCUCGCACGAACACCAUUGGGGGUAGAGCACUGUUAAGGCUAGGGGGUCAUCCCGACUUACCAACCCUUUGCAAACUCCGAAUACCAAUGAGUGAUAUGCGGGAGACACACUGCGGGUGCUAACGUCCGUUGUGAAGAGGGAAACAACCCAGACCGCCAGCUAAGGUCCCAAAGUACUAGUUAAGUGGGAAACGAUGUGGAAAGGCAUAGACAGCUAGGAGGUUGGCUUAGAAGCAGCCAUCCUUUAAAGAAAGCGUAAUAGCUCACUAGUCGAGUCGGUCUGCGCGGAAGAUGUAACGGGGCUAAACUAGUCACCGAAGCUGCGGAUUCAUCAUUUAUGAUGAGUGGUAGGGGAGCGUUCUGUAAGCCGUUGAAGGUGAAUUGAGAAGUUUGCUGGAGGUAUCAGAAGUGCGAAUGCUGACAUGAGUAACGAUAAGGGGAGUGAAAAACUCCCCCGCCGAAAGACCAAGGUUUCCUGUCCCAUGUUAAUCAGGGCAGGGUAAGUCGGCCCCUAAGGCGAGGCGGAAACGCGUAGUCGAUGGGAAACAGAUUAAUAUUUCUGUACUUCUAUAUAUUGCGAAGGAGGGACGGAGUAGGCUAAAUGAGCACGGCGUUGGUAGUCCGUGUGAAAGUAUGUAGGUGGUUGUCUUAGGUAAAUCCGGGACUUCAUUAACACUGAGAUACGAGACGAGAUUCUACGGAAUUGAAGUCAUUGAUGCCAUGCUUCCAGGAAAAGCUUCUAAGCUUCAGAUAUAUAGGAACCGUACCCCAAACCGACACAGGUGGUUAGGUAGAGAAUACUAAGGCGCUUGAGAGAACUCGGGUGAAGGAACUAGGCAAAAUAGUACCGUAACUUCGGGAGAAGGUACGCUGCUCACGGUGAAGCCCUUGCGGUGUAAGCUAAGAGUAGUCGAAGUAACCAGGUGGCUGGAACUGUUUAUUAAAAACACAGCACUGUGCAAAAUCGAAAGAUGACGUAUACGGUGUGACGCCUGCCCGGUGCCGGAAGGUUAAUUGAUUCGGUUAGUCCUCGGACGAAGCUGAUGAUCGAAGCCCCGGUAAACGGCGGCCGUAACUAUAACGGUCCUAAGGUAGCGAAAUUCCUUGUCGGGUAAGUUCCGACCUGCACGAAUGGCGUAAUCAUGGCCACACUGUCUCCACCCGAGACUCAGUGAAAUUGAAUUUGCGGUUAAGAUGCCGUAUACCCGCGGCUAGACGGAAAGACCCCGUGAACCUUUACUAUAGCUUGACAGUGAACAUUGCUCCUACAUGUGUAGGAUAGGUGGGAGGCUUUGAAACCAUGUCGCUAGAUGUGGUGGAGCCAAUCUUGAAAUACCACCCUUGUAUGCGUGAUGUUCUAACCUAGGGCCCUUAUCGGGCUUGGGGACACUGUCUGGUGGGUAGUUUGACUGGGGCGGUCUCCUCCCAAAGAGUAACGGAGGAGCACGAAGGUUGGCUAAGUACGGUCGGACAUCGUACGGUUAGUGCAAUGGCAUAAGCCAGCUUAACUGCGAGACAGACACGUCGAGCAGGUACGAAAGUAGGUCAUAGUGAUC